This 863-nucleotide ribosomal RNA is filed under the name uncultured bacterium. Its description in RNAcentral is "bacterial SSU rRNA". It matches the Rfam family "Bacterial small subunit ribosomal RNA", at positions 25 to 833 of the family's 1533-position model. The record is from RNAcentral.
GGGGGAAAAUGGGGGGGCUGCCUAAGAAUGCAAGUCGAACGAGGUGUCCCAAUGAAAAUGAAGUACUUGUACGGAAGAGGAUUUGGAUUCACACCUAGUGGCGAACGGGUGAGUAACGGGUAGGCAACCUGCCCUCAAGACGGGGAUACCAGUUGGAAACGACUGUUAAUACCGGAUAGUAUACAAUAUCGCAUGGUAAUGUAUUUAAAGGAGCUUCGGCUUCACUUGAGGAUGGGCCUGCUUUGUAUUAGAUAGUUGGUGAGGUAAUGGCUCACCAAGUCAACGAUGCAUAGCCGAACUGAGAGGUUGAACGGCCACACUGGAACUGAGACACGGUCCAGACUCCUACGGGAGGCAGCAGUUAGGGAUAUUGGGCAAUGGAGGAAACUCUGACCCAGCAAUGCCGCGUGAGUGAAGAAGUAUUUCGGUAUGUAAAACUCUGUUGUAUGGGAGGAAAGAACUAGUAGGAAAUGGCUAGGAGAUGACUGUAUCAUACGAGAAAGUCACGGCUAACUACGUGCCAGCAGCCGCGGUAAUACGUAGGUGGCAAGCGUUAUCCGGAAUUAUUGGGCGUAAAGGGUGCGUAGGUGGCAUGUUAAGUCUGGUGUAAAAGGCAAUAGCUCAACUAUUGUAUGCAUUGGAAACUGGCAAGCUAGAGUGUGUGAGAGGUAAGUGGAAUUCCAAGUGUAGCGGUGGAAUGCGUAGAUAUUUGGAGGAACACCAGUGGCCGAAGGGCGGCCUUACUGGGCACAUAAUCUGAACACUGAAGGCACGAACAGCCGUGGGGGAGCAAAAUAAGGAUUAAGAUACCCCCUAGUUAGUUCCCACGCCCGUAAAAACGGAUGGAGGCGGCAUAAAGGGGU